AUUGAACGCUGGCGGCAUGCCUUACACAUGCGAGUCGAACGGCAGCACGGGUGCUUGCCCCUGGUGGCGAGUGGCGAACGGGUGAGUAAUACAUCGGAACAUGUCCUGUAGUGGGGAAUAGCCCGGCGAAAGCCGGAUUAAUACCGCAUACGAUCUACGGAUGAAAGCGGGGGACCUUCGGGCCUCGCGCUAUAGGGUUGGCCGAUGGCUGAUUAGCUAGUUGGUGGGGUAAAGGCCUACCAAGGCGACGAUCAGUAGCUGGUCUGAGAGGACGACCAGCCACACUGGGACUGAGACACGGCCCAGACUCCUACGGGAGGCAGCAGUGGGGAAUUUUGGACAAUGGGCGAAAGCCUGAUCCAGCAAUGCCGCGUGUGUGAAGAAGGCCUUCGGGUUGUAAAGCACUUUUGUCCGGAAAGAAAUCCUUGGCCCUAAUACGGUCGGGGGAUGACGGUACCGGAAGAAUAAGCACCGGCUAACUACGUG
This 486-nucleotide ribosomal RNA is filed under the name uncultured bacterium. Its description in RNAcentral is "partial 16S ribosomal RNA". It matches the Rfam family "Bacterial small subunit ribosomal RNA", at positions 30 to 507 of the family's 1533-position model. The record is from RNAcentral.